This 251-nucleotide ribosomal RNA is filed under the name uncultured bacterium. RNAcentral's name for it is "partial 16S ribosomal RNA". It matches the Rfam family "Bacterial small subunit ribosomal RNA", at positions 524 to 776 of the family's 1533-position model. The record is from RNAcentral.
UACAGAGGCCUCGAGCGUUAGGCGGAAUCACUGGGCUUAAAGCGUGUGUAGGCGGACUUCUAAGUACCUUGUGAAAUCCCACGGCUCACCCGUGGAACUGCUUGGUAUACUGGUUGUCUUGAGCCUUCUAGGGGCGAGUGGAACAAAUGGUGGAGCGGUGAAAUGCGUACGAUAUCAUUGGAACGCCAAUGGUGAAAACAACUCGCUGGGGAAGUGCUGACGCUGAGACACGAAGCCAGGGAGCGAACGGG